RNAcentral lists this ribosomal RNA (369 nucleotides) under Planctomycetaceae bacterium. RNAcentral's name for it is "bacterial SSU rRNA". It matches the Rfam family "Bacterial small subunit ribosomal RNA", at positions 1 to 392 of the family's 1533-position model. Lineage: Bacteria; Pseudomonadati; Planctomycetota; Planctomycetia; Planctomycetales; Planctomycetaceae. The record is from RNAcentral.
AAAUUGAAGGGUUUGAUCCUGGCUCAGAAUGAACGUUGGCGGCGUGGAUUAGGCAUGCAAGUCGUACGGAGGUAGCAAUACCUUAGUGGCGAAAGGGAUAGGAAUACAUAGAUAAUCUGCCUUCAGGACGCGGAUAGCGGCGGGAAACUGCCGGUAAUACGCGAUAAUUUCUCAGGAACAAAGGUGUGAUUCCGCCUGAAGAUGAGUCUAUGUCCUAUUAGUUAGUUGGCGGUGUAAUGGACCACCAAGACUAUGAUGGGUACGAGGCGUGAGAGCGUGUCCUCGAUCACUGGAACUGAGACACUGUCCAGACACCUACGGGUGGCUGCAGUCGAGAAUCUUCGGCAAUGGGCGAAAGCCUGACCGAGC